AUUGAACGCUGGCGGCAGGCCUAACACAUGCAAGUCGAACGGUAACAGGAAGAAGCUUGCUUCUUUGCUGACGAGUGGCGGACGGGUGAGUAAUGUCUGGGAAACUGCCUGAUGGAGGGGGAUAACUACUGGAAACGGUAGCUAAUACCGCAUAACGUCGCAAGACCAAAAAGGGGGACCUUCGGGCCUCUUGCCAUCGGAUGUGCCCAGAUGGGAUUAGCUAGUAGGUGGGGUAACGGCUCACCUAGGCGACGAUCCCUAGCUGGUCUGAGAGGAUGACCAGCCACACUGGAACUGAGACACGGUCCAGACUCCUACGGGAGGCAGCAGUGGGGAAUAUUGCACAAUGGGCGCAAGCCUGAUUCAGCCAUGCCGCGUGUAUGAAGAAGGCCUUCGGGUUGUAAAGUACUUUCAGCGGGGAGGAAGGGAGUAAAGUUAAUACCUUUGCUCAUUGACGUUACCCGCAGAAGAAGCACCGGCUAACUCCGUG
RNAcentral lists this ribosomal RNA (490 nucleotides) under uncultured bacterium. RNAcentral's name for it is "partial 16S ribosomal RNA". It matches the Rfam family "Bacterial small subunit ribosomal RNA", at positions 30 to 507 of the family's 1533-position model. The record is from RNAcentral.